AAAGUCUGGUCAACAAGCUACAGACACUGAAUAAUCCUCAGUGCACCCAGAAAGCCUCAUUGAUGACUGCUGGAUUGGGGUUGUAAUAAUUUUUGCACUGGUUAUAGAGUCAGCAAGAAGAUUAAAGUGGAGGAGUGUCUGUGAUAUGGCCGCCGCCACAGACACACACCUGACGUCUCCUACCCUCAGUUCACAGCCUACCUCUUCCUCACCCCAACCACCCUGACAAACCUGGCCAGCAGAGCAGUAGGUCUAACUGUACCACAUGGUGCCUUCCCAGUCACCUGAGGACGUUGGUUGAUCUAUUAGUUGUAAUUCAACUGGCGGGAUGAAGGAUGAGGGAAUGGAUGGACCGGGACAUUUUUAAACCUCACCAAAAUAAAAUGCAAAGAGUUCAGCUGUUCCACUCUGUCCUCUACCGCCAGCACGCUUCCCUGACAAGGACCUUGACCCAUCUCUGAGGAACCACAGGCA
Molecule: long non-coding RNA, 474 nt
Organism: Salvelinus sp. IW2-2015
Lineage: Eukaryota; Metazoa; Chordata; Actinopteri; Salmoniformes; Salmonidae
Source: RefSeq, a predicted model, not a curated record